UACGUAGGGCGCAAGCGUUGUCCGGAAUUAUUGGGCGUAAAGAGCUCGUAGGCGGUUUGUCGCGUCUGCUGUGAAAACGCAAGGCUUAACCUUGCGCCUGCAGUGGGUACGGGCAGACUAGAGUGCGGUAGGGGAGACUGGAAUUCCUGGUGUAGCGGUGGAAUGCGCAGAUAUCAGGAGGAACACCGAUGGCGAAGGCAGGUCUCUGGGCCGUUACUGACGCUGAGGAGCGAAAGCAUGGGGAGCGAACAGGAUUAGAAACCCCAGUAGUCC
RNAcentral lists this ribosomal RNA (273 nucleotides) under uncultured bacterium. RNAcentral describes it as "partial 16S ribosomal RNA". It matches the Rfam family "Bacterial small subunit ribosomal RNA", at positions 524 to 796 of the family's 1533-position model. The record is from RNAcentral.